RNAcentral lists this ribosomal RNA (253 nucleotides) under uncultured bacterium. RNAcentral describes it as "partial 16S ribosomal RNA". It matches the Rfam family "Bacterial small subunit ribosomal RNA", at positions 524 to 776 of the family's 1533-position model. The record is from RNAcentral.
UACAGAGGGUGCGAGCGUUGUCCGGAAUCACUGGGCGUAAAGGGCGCGUAGGCGGCUUGAUAAGGUUGCGGUGAAAGCCCGGGGCUCAACCCCGGGUCGGCCGUGGCAACUGUCGAGCUGGAGCACUGUAGAGGCAGGUGGAAUUCCGGGUGUAGCGGUGGAAUGCGUAGAGAUCCGGAAGAACACCGGUGGCGAAGGCGGCCUGGUGGGCAGUGGCUGACGCUGAGGCGCGACAGCGUGGGGAGCAAACAGG